RNAcentral lists this ribosomal RNA (356 nucleotides) under Paraclisis hyalina. RNAcentral's name for it is "partial 12S ribosomal RNA". The record is from RNAcentral. Lineage: Eukaryota; Metazoa; Arthropoda; Insecta; Psocodea; Philopteridae.
AAACAACGACAAUUGUUUGUGUUGAGUAUAGAUUGUUUUUCUUGAAAAACUAAAUUACGUGGCGGCUGAACAACUAAAUAGAGGGGUAUGUUUUAUAAAUCGAAUUUACGCGAAUAUCUUAUCUAAUCUUGAAUUAAAUUUCAUUUUACACACCGCCGUCGGAAGUAUAAAUUGUUAGAUUUAUUCUUUUUCUUAUUUUAGGAAUUAAGUCAGGUCAACGUGUAGAUAAUGGUUAGGUCAAAUUGUAUCUCUUUAUUAUUAUUAUGUUCUUUUAUAAAUUUGAAAUAGUAUUAGAUAAUUGAAUUUAUAAGUUAAACCUUUUAUUAUUAAGGUUUGAAUAGUGAUAUGUUUGGUGC